This is a small nucleolar RNA of Lepus europaeus (European hare), 92 nucleotides long. RefSeq annotates it as small nucleolar RNA U83B. Lineage: Eukaryota; Metazoa; Chordata; Mammalia; Lagomorpha; Leporidae. The transcript has a single exon. The record is from RefSeq and is a predicted model, not a curated record.
GCUGCUUGGUGAUGAGGCCUGGAAUGAGCGCUGGGCCAGUGCCCGAAUCCCCCUGGGGAACCACUCCCUGUUGCCUUCCUUCUGAGAACAGC